RNAcentral lists this ribosomal RNA (439 nucleotides) under uncultured bacterium. Its description in RNAcentral is "partial 16S ribosomal RNA". It matches the Rfam family "Bacterial small subunit ribosomal RNA", at positions 339 to 795 of the family's 1533-position model. The record is from RNAcentral.
CCUCGGGCGGCUGCAGUGAGGAAUAUUGCACAAUGGGGGGAACCCUGAUGCAGCAACGCCGCGUGGAGGAUGACGCAUUUCGGUGUGUAAACUCCUUUUAUAUGUCAAGAAAAUGACGGUAGCAUAUGAAUAAGCACCGGCUAACUCCGUGCCAGCAGCCGCGGUAAUACGGAGGGUGCAAGCGUUACUCGGAAUCACUGGGCGUAAAGGACGCGUAGGCGGGUUGGAAAGUCAGGUGUGAAAUCCUACAGCUUAACUGUAGAACUGCACUUGAAACUUCUAAUCUAGAGUAUGGGAGGGGGAGAUGGAGUUAGUGGUGUAGGGGUAAAAUCCGUAGAUAUCACUAGGAAUACCUAAAGCGAAGGCGAUCUCCUGGAACAUUACUGACGCUAAGGCGUGAAAGCGUGGGGAGCAAACAGGAUUAGAUACCCCCGUAGUC